UAAGGUGCAUUGGUAGGAGAGCGUUCUAAGGGCGUUGAAGGUAGAUCGUGAGGACUACUGGAGCGCUUAGAAGUGAGAAUGCCGGUAUGAGUAGCGAAAGACAGGUGAGAAUCCUGUCCACCGUAUGACUAAGGUUUCCUGGGGAAGGCUCGUCCGCCCAGGGUUAGUCGGGACCUAAGCCGAGGCCGACAGGCGUAGGCGAUGGACAACAGGUUGAUAUUCCUGUACCCGUUGUUUUUGUUUGAGCAAUGGAGGGACGCAGGAGGCUAAGAAGUGCAGACUGAUGGAUAUGUCUGUUCAAGCAGUGAGUCUUAGUGGGAGUCAAAUGCUUCUACUUUCAAGGACAAGCUGUGAUGAGGAGGGAAAUAAUAGUACCGAAGCUU
RNAcentral lists this ribosomal RNA (383 nucleotides) under Enterococcus gallinarum. RNAcentral's name for it is "partial 23S ribosomal RNA". It matches the Rfam family "Bacterial large subunit ribosomal RNA", at positions 1216 to 1593 of the family's 2925-position model. Lineage: Bacteria; Bacillati; Bacillota; Bacilli; Lactobacillales; Enterococcaceae. The record is from RNAcentral.